Stomoxys calcitrans (stable fly) is the source of this 725-nucleotide long non-coding RNA. RefSeq lists it as uncharacterized. The transcript has 2 exons. Lineage: Eukaryota; Metazoa; Arthropoda; Insecta; Diptera; Muscidae. The record is from RefSeq and is a predicted model, not a curated record.
GCCAAUGAUAUAAUCUAUUACAAUUUUGCCCAAUUAUUUCUUUCUUACCUCUAAGUUUACUAACUAUAAGUUGACAGGUAACUUCUUUUGCUUUCGUUAAGUUAGCCAACAUACAAAAUCAUAUGUUAGAUGAUAAGCCAUUAUUAAAAUAAACUCCCACUUUGAAUUUACCAACGAAACGAACCACAUCGGAAAGGUGUCUUAAGUCUUGUUUGAUGUUUUCCAGUUCAUAAUUCUAAAGACAACCAAGGUACAUUCAACCUACACGCAAACAUUUUAUGGUCCUUCGAACCGGAUUUCUAUACGCAUUGGUACCGGGUUGCAUAAGUCUGAUUCCUAAAGACAUCAUCACUUCUUACGUCCAUCGCUAAGGAAUAUCUCCCACAUUCCAGAUUGUCCCAGGUUUGAAAUAACUUCCAAUUCUUAUUUAUGUUAUGUACGUUUCGAUUGGGAAACUAGUUUAGAGUUGACAGGCAGAUAAAAGAGAGCACAAAAACUCAAUCGGAUUCCUAUAGUUUCGCUGUGUAUUGUAACAAGUGUCAGUCCGCAUUAAAAUCAUAGUUAUCAGCUGCACAAGCAAAUUAUUGAAAAAGAAGAAAUUGUUUUAUAUACCAAUGUUCUUCGUUUUAAACAAAACUGAGUAACUGAAAAGUUAGUAAAGUUAAGUUUUAAAGAAAUUCAUUAAAGUUAGUCCGAUCGUCCGAAUUUGAGAAAAACGUGAAAAA